Molecule: transfer RNA, 55 nt
Filed under: Nephroselmis pyriformis
Lineage: Eukaryota; Viridiplantae; Chlorophyta; Nephroselmidophyceae; Nephroselmidales; Nephroselmidaceae
Description: partial tRNA
Rfam family: tRNA
About the family: Transfer RNA (tRNA) molecules are approximately 80 nucleotides in length.
Source: RNAcentral
GUUUAGAACGACGGAAUCAUAAUUCGUAUGUCGAAGGUUCGAAUCCUUCUUUCGC